This 352-nucleotide ribosomal RNA is filed under the name Pirateolea nola. Its description in RNAcentral is "partial 12S ribosomal RNA". Lineage: Eukaryota; Metazoa; Arthropoda; Insecta; Lepidoptera; Noctuidae. The record is from RNAcentral.
UAAAAUUUAAAUUGAAAAUACUAAAAUAGUAAAUAAAUAUUUAUUGAAACUUAAAUAAUUUGGCGGUAUUUUAGUUCAUUUAGAGGAAUCUGUUUAAUAAUUGAUAUUCCACGAAUAAAUUUACUUAAUUUAUAAUUUUGUAUAUCGUUGUUAUAAAAAUAUUUUUUAAUAAAAUUAAUAUUUAAAAAUUAAUAUUUAAAAUUAAAUCAGAUCAAGAUGCAGAUUAUAAUUAAGAAUAUAAUGGAUUACAAUAAAUUUAUUUAAAUGAAUUUUAAUUUUUAAUAAUUAAUUGAAAGUGGAUUUAAAUGUAAUUUUAUUUAGUUUAAUAAAAUGAUUAAAAAUUAAAAUAUGU